AGCAACGGUGGCGAUAGCGGUGGCGGAUUGUCAGUAGUCGAGUGUGUGGUGCACGUUUUUAAGUCGCGUUCGUGUCUGGCCUAGUGUGUGCGCGCCCGUGACGUCAAACAUAGUUCCAGCAUCGUUUUCCGAAAGUUUUCCCCCGGCCGGUUGUUUUUUUCUUUCCGUUCGAAUAAUGUAACAGUUAUUUCUGGUUGACUUUCAAUCGACGGCAAAAUAUUACACGGCCGUUUUUCCACCAUAUCCGAUCGCAGAGUACGACUGCUGCAGCGGCGUGCGCUAUGUGUACAAUAUAAAUAUUGUGGUCGACGUGUUAAACGUUGAAAGCGGUUCAUUAAGACGGCUGUGACGGUGGUAAUCUAAAAUUAACAUACACAUUAAUACGAUUCCGAGCCGUCUACAUCGUAUAUAAUAUAUCCGUCCGCAAAUUGUAAAAACACUGCUAAAGAGUGCAAUAAAAAACACCGAGGCUUAAGAUAAUAAUCGCAACAAAAAACAAAAACAUUCCCACCGCAUAAACGUCUUUUCUUCGAGAUUGUCAAUUCUUGUCCACGUGGGUUUUUAUUGACAUCAUAUCGUUACAUAAUCAUUAUUAUUGCUAUUAAUGUUAAUUUUCCAAUUUUAACCCUCCGGGCUUUUUUACCAUUACCAUGAACGCCGCUGCCAGCAACAGCAGACGGUCGGCCGACUGUUGUUGUCGCCAUUGAUUCGCACGAAGACCAUGCAACGUCCCAACCAGUCGACAUGUGAAUUAAUGACAAAAUUGCCUUAUUGUGCCACCAUCCGACCCGUCAAAUUUCAGUGUUGUGUGCAUGGUGGUAACUAGUGCUAUUGAGAAACAUUUACGAUCAGACAAACACAAAUUAUCUGAUCAUGCUGCCGCUUCAAGUUCACCGUCUUCUAAGAAUUUUGCAUAACAUUAUUAACGGAUGCUUCAAACCAUGGCUCUACAAAUUAUUCCCUGUUUUAGUCCACCACGUUUUACCAUACGGAGGAGUACAAGUAUAGAUUUUAGAGUUUCAAGAGCAACCAGGCGAGUUAUCGGAUAUAAUUGUGGAUUGGAAACAAGUAUUGACAAAAAAAUAAGCUGACAUACAAAAUUGUGGCAUUUAGUAGAUACGAUACAAUACUGUAAUUUUGGAGGAAAAAUAGAAAAGGAUUUAAUAAUGUUAACGCGCAUCUGUACAGGUCUCUUUGAAAGACGCUCAUAGGAAUUGUAUGCAGAGCUCACAUAUUCAAAAUGCGGUCAAAACAGGUGCAGAUUGUCUACCUGUUAAAAUUAAGUGCAUAAUUGUGAACAUUUAUUUAUUUUUCUACAUUUAUAACAUUUGUGUUUGUAGCUCUUAAUUACUUCUGUGAUGCAGCUGACACAGAAUAUAGAAAACUUCUGGGCUACAGUAAAACUAGAUGGCGUGCGUUAAUGCCCGUACUGGAAAGUUUUAAAAAUAUUUUAGCCGUUAAAAAAAUAUUUUCUGAGCAUUGAUAAAUGCCCGAAUAUAAUUUUAAACAAAUUUGAAAAUCCCAUCGUUGAACUAUGGUUAUUUUUUAUGCACGCACAGUCAGCCACUUUUCGCCAAGCGGUGUUAAAGGUCGAGUGACAAAACGUGUUUGCCACAGGGGACGUGGAUGAAAAAUAAAAUUCACGUUAUUAAAAUUUACAAGCGUCGUCCCGCUCUGAGGGGAAAAAAUUAUGGUCACGUUUUACAAAUAUAAUAUGUAUGAAGAACAAAUGUUAAUGGAUAAACGAAAUAACAUAACUAUUAUUAUAAGAUAUUUUUAUUAUUAUGUAUAAAUCUACUACUACUGAGACGAUUCAUAUGUGACCGAUGCACGCGGUUACACGUGCUUGUUUUGCACUCGACAGAUUUUCGAGAGUAUACAAUAUCGAUGCCCUAUCAAUAUUAAUUUUUAAAAUUGACGGGUUUUGGCAGACAGUAUACAUUUCUUGUUUACCGUCUGCGCGUUGGAAACCGGGCAAGUUGCCUGGUCACCCUGUAGAAUAAACUGUUGCUGUGUGAUACAGGGUGACGCUAGGCGGCGUCGGUUAAACGUGUGGGUGUUAUAUAUUUUGGCACACUGUUGUUCUAACACCCGAUCGUUAUCUUCUCAAUCUCACUCCCACUACUUCCCCCUCUAUCUCGGCCAUUACACUAUUUUUUCUCCGUCUCGCCGUGCCGUUUACCUAACCGAGAAAAUGCCCUCGGCUAUUUUCGAAGUCUAGUGCUAGUCGCGGUUACGACGAGACAUUUUCAUUUUCAUCAACGCAUUUUAUUAUCGUUAAUAUUCUAUUGAAACUCCGAGACCUGCGAAUACGCGCCCGCGGCCUAUUUUUAUUUCAUUCCAGGAUAUUUUUGUAUCAAAUGUACAUAGUAUAAUUACGCAUAUGCGGACGGCUCGUUAUUUUUAGACGCCACCGAUCGACCCGACUGAUUUCCCGGCCGCAGUAUUGAAUAACCCGUACUAUUUAAAUUGUUUUUAUUUUUUUAUUUUUUUUUUUCCUUGUCAAUUAAUUUCUUUGUCGAUCGCCUAUUGGAUUACAUAUUUCGGAACACUAAUGCAAUUUCGUAGCCGCGGUUGUCGUGUCGUGAGUGCGUUUUCGCGGUUCCCGAUAUCAAGAUGAGCGGUGAUCCGUGCGGUUCCCGGAUACCGGACAGUGGCGACGGGGAGAAGCCUCGGAAAUGCAGCUUCAAGCUGAUACCGAGAAAAAAGAAAAUUAAAAAAACCGGUCGGAUUAGCAUAGGCGACUGCGGCGAAGUGAUGGUCAAGACUUGGG
Molecule: long non-coding RNA, 2773 nt
Organism: Adelges cooleyi (spruce gall adelgid)
Lineage: Eukaryota; Metazoa; Arthropoda; Insecta; Hemiptera; Adelgidae
Exons: 3
Source: RefSeq, a predicted model, not a curated record